CCUCAGUCUUCCUAUUUCUAGGAUGAGCAUGGGACCCCGCCAAGACUAUGGACCGCCUUUGUGAACAACCUGAGGGCCCUGCAGGCUGCGGGGAGAGUCACGUGGAGCCUGAGGGUGGCACAAGGAAGGCAGAGAAGAAGCAAGUGGAGCUGGCCUUCAGGGUUCCUGAGUCUCCACAGGCCCAGGGCACCUGUUCUUGGUCCAGCAAUAAAUGCUCAGAUGGAUGGCGAGGACUUGGGUCACCACAGGAUCCACUAUGGGAGGCUCCUGGGAAAUAUCACCAUCACGACAUUCAUUCUUUCAGGCAGUAAGCAUAGCCAGGUCCCAUUUGAUAUGAAUCUGACCUGCAAAUCUGCAACAGUGUCCUGCAACAUAUUAAGUUUUACAUGGUGACCAGAAAGUUAAAUAAAACAUCCCCUCCCCCCACCUUUUCCAUUGUUAAGAACACACACCUAACUUGCUCAAGUCCCUCCCUUCUCAGGAAGAAUAAAGGUCCCUUCUGUAAUU
RNAcentral lists this long non-coding RNA (507 nucleotides) under Homo sapiens (human). Its description in RNAcentral is "HSALNT0266436". The record is from RNAcentral. Lineage: Eukaryota; Metazoa; Chordata; Mammalia; Primates; Hominidae.